Molecule: long non-coding RNA, 3882 nt
Organism: Octopus sinensis (East Asian common octopus)
Lineage: Eukaryota; Metazoa; Mollusca; Cephalopoda; Octopoda; Octopodidae
Exons: 2
Source: RefSeq, a predicted model, not a curated record
ACACACACACACACAUAUAUAUUACACACACAUAUUGCGUGGCCUUUGAGUCCAAAUUCAACCUAAAUCAAGUUUGUAUAUAUAAAUGUGUGCAUAGAAUCAUACAUACAGUUACAUGUAUGCAUGUAAAUAUAUGUGUGCGUGUGUAUCCAUUUAUAUAUAUAUAUAUAUGUAUGUAUCUAUGUAUGUAUAUGUACAUGAAUGUUUAUUUCCAUAUCAACAAUGUCACACAGUAUGCUUCUAUGCAUCAAAUUGAUUAAUCUACUGAAAAGGAGAGUUUUAAUGCAUUCGUCGAGCACGGAUGUGGUUUUAAUGUCCGUAUCGUGCAGACGGGUUUAAACAUGAUUAUUUAUGUAUUCCGUAUUUCCCGUAUAUACCGUGUUUGCGUAUGUAUGAUUGUGUUCUUGCGUAUAGCGAUUCGGAUUUUAUAUCAUGUCGUAAUGUAAGUAUGAUGAUUGUCUGCGUAUGUAUGUUGGGGCGUGUUUGUAAGUCUAAUCGUGUUUGAAUGUGUAUACAUGAGUACCAUAUCUGACAGCAGCGGCAGCACUUUUUCACACAAGUCAUCUGUUAAUCAAUCAACCAUUUUGAUUACCUCAUUGACAUUCAAUUCACACAUUUCGCUCGCUCACAACAUUAAACAAAAGCAAACAAAUGUUUGUAUUUAUAAAUAAUUUUUGAAAAAAAAGUAACCAAAAUAUGUGAGGAUGUUUUUUAUUAAAUGUUACAAUCGAUUAUUCUUUCCUCUUUCACUUUAUUUUUAUCUCAUUGCUUGUGUACUUUUGUUUUUAUUCCUCAUGACUGAUUGGAUAUAUGAUUGAAGUAGGUAAGGAAUGUUUGAAUUAAGGAAGAUCUGAAUGCAUUAACGAACAGUCGAACGAACGAGUGAACAAGCGAAUGUUUUUUCUGUCUCAAAUCCACGAUUUUAUGUCCAAAAUUUUGAAGUUUUACUUUUUAUAAUUUAUAUAUAUUGAAGGUGUAAAUGAGAAACGUCAGUGAAUUCGUUAUCUUUUAUUUCUUUAAAUACUUAUUUAUUUAUUAUUUGUUUAUUAGACAUUCGGCAUAUAGGCUCAUAUGAAAUGCUUGUUCAAAUUAUGAAAUUUCGUCCUUUUCCACCAGAAGUUACGGGUAUCACAUGUAUGUAUAUGAGAUACCUAAACAAAUUUUUUGCGAAAAUAAUCAGUGCACCGCUUAUUCCAAACAGUGAUAUCCAAUCCCUAAUUUCGAAAAAAAAAGUAAAAAUCCAAAAAAAGCAAAAUAAAUAAGUUAAAAAUAAAGACAAAAAUACGAUUUAGAAAAAUAGUCCUUGCACAAAACCGAACACUUUAAUAUAGAUAGUGAUGCUUAAUUUUGAUAAAGCAUCAAUGUUCAGCUUCUUUAAAUUAUUUUCUAUUUCGUUGUGCUAUUUUUCAUGGUUUAACUUUCAAUCAAAGAAAAGAAAAGAAAAAAAAGCCUAAAUAAAAACAAGAAAAAAAGUCCCAAAAAAGCAGAACGGUAAAUAAUUCCUAUAUCAAAUUUUGGAUUAAUUUUUUUGUAAAUGAAGUGUUUAUCAGACAUUUAGAAUGAUAUACACAUAAAGAUGUUCUUUCAUCAGAUCAUAUUUUUCAUUGUAAACAAGGACUGGAAGCACAAUAGGGUUAAAAUGUCGACUACACCAAGCUCCCUUAUUUAGUGCUUUGUGUCACAGAUAAACCCUUGUAAUUCAUUGUAUUUAUGAAUAUGAUUAUAUUGCUUGAUGUAUAUAUUGAAAUAUUAACCCCCCCCCAGUCUUAUAAACUCCAUAAUCUUUCCAAUUUCAUACAGACAUGAAUAUAUACAUAUUCACACACACAUAUAUAUGUAUAUAUAUAUAUAUGUAUAUAUAUAUAUAUAUAUAUAUAUUAUAUAUAUAUAUAUAUAUAUAUGCAUGUAUACCCACAUAUUUAUGUAUAUAUAUAUGUAUGUAUGUAUAUAUAUAUAUAUUAAUUAACAAUGGUGUUAUAUAGCGUCCGGUUUUAGUACCCAGUAAACUCGGUUGUAAUGGAUCUAUAAUAUUGUAUAUUUUGAUUACUACACAUACACACGCGCGUUCACACACACAUACACACAUAUAUGUGGCAUAAAUGAGUAGUACCUGUAUUUCAAAGGAGCAGGCUUGUCACAUUCUGUCUCACGCCGAAUCUUCCUCAGAACGUCGUUAAGUUACAUGUGUCGGCUAUUAACACCUUAAUUUCACAAGGAGGCUGUUCCGAGAGAGAGAGAGAGAGAGGAGAAAGGGAGGUAGAGACAGGAUGAUAAGUUGUAAGUUGUAGCACAGAAUAGAUACGCACCAGGUAAAUUCUUGGACAGACCAAAAUUUUCAACUGCAACUUCUUAAUCACGAUGAGGUAUGUCACAAAGAGUUGAGUUUUUUGAAGAAAACUUAUUAAAGAGGGAAGAAGGAGAAACAGUUGUAGAGUAAGGAAUACAUUUAUUUAAGUUGUUACAUAUAUUUGGAUGAUGAAACACAACUUUACAACUGUUUCAAAUAUUCUGUAAAUGGCUGAUAUUAUAAUGCAUAUGAUGUAAUCGGGCGUACGUUAAGCGAUAACAUAACUAGAAAGCAUAUUAUGAGCACGUGGGAAACCAUAUUAACCACACAAGAAUCGCCAUACUUGGAUAUCUUCAUGCAAGAAAUAGAGAACAUUCCUGUAUGUUUAAUAUGAAUUAUAACAUUAACUUUUUACUGAAUAUUUAAAUCGACUAUUAUCCAGGUAUUAGAUGUAACAUUUCAUGUUAGUACAUUCAGUUAUUAAAUGUAACAUAUAUUAAUACAUUCUUUACACCUGUAUAUUUAUAUAUAUAUGCAUACAUUCAUAUAUACAUACAUAUUUGUUUGAAUAUUUUUAUAUAAAUAUUUCGGCUGUAUGUCGAAUAUGUCUUGGUAAUAGAUAAGGUAUUUUCUUUGACCCUCCCCACCCUCUCUCACUCUCUCUCUCCCUCUGUUUCCUCCCUUCUCUACAAUGGGAUUGUGGACCAAAGAUCGCUGUACAGAUUGCAAAUUUUGAAGAAUGUUGUUGGCAAACCUGAUAUAUUGGAUCUUUCUUUAGAUUUUCUCUCUUUCAUUUUUCUUUCAUCCAAUUCGACUUUGUAAUUUUUACUCCUACUAUAACUUUCCACCAUCGUUAGCGGUGUUUCACUGUCUUAAUCUGCAGAGUUGCAAUUAAGCUAUUUAGUUUACUGAGAUAUCAUUUGAUGAUAUGCUUAAACUACGUCUCAGGCGUCCUUUUCGCCGUCUUCCAUAUUUCGUUUUGUAUGGCAUUGCUUCAGGUAACCUAACCUUGUUCAUUCAUAUUACAUUUCUCCCUCAUCAAAACUGAAUUCUUUCUAUCAGCAAAUACUCAACAGUAGAUAUCAGCGCGCUGCUGGGUCUCCUGGUAAGAGAUAUAGUCUAGUAAAGAAGUGUUCAUUAUAGCUGCAGAUGGUACAAUUGGCAGGUCACCAGUUUUUGAUAUGUCGACGAUACGGUCCCAGCUGAAUAUAGCGAAUUGGAUAGAACAAAGGAUCGAUAUACUUCCUCCGUUUUUUCUACUAUCGAUAACUGAUGCUCCCGCAAACAAUUAUUGUUGUUUAUAUACGACAAUUCUCAUCUGCGUCCAACCUGUUGCUAUCUGAAGGCGUACUGCUCAAAUUUGUAAAAUUCAUCACCAGGCUUACAUCAUAAUGGUCAGAUAUUCUAGUUUCGAUUGAUACAAAACUUCGGUCUUCGCUAUAUUCAUCGAUGGGCGGGAAGCUGUCGACGCUCAUUCUAAAUGAUACGCUAUUUUGUGUAUGUCUUCUAGGGAAAGAAUCACUGGUAGUGAGUCAUGAGCUAAGAGAAGUUCGCGAAGACAUAUCACGGCAUAUCUUAAUAGGUGUUAGUGCAGA